Molecule: long non-coding RNA, 830 nt
Filed under: Castor canadensis (American beaver)
Lineage: Eukaryota; Metazoa; Chordata; Mammalia; Rodentia; Castoridae
Description: lncRNA (ENSCCNG00000021654.1)
Source: RNAcentral
GGGCCGCAGAGGGCGUCUGGAGACCGGAGAAACCGCGGCCGUCUGGCCCCUCGCCUCGGCCGGGGCUGUCCCUUUAAAUCCUGGAGGAGGCAAAGAGAAAAAAGGAAAGAAAGAAAAAAGACGCGGAGCCCCGAGAGGCUGGUGGCUCUGCUCUGCCCCCCACUCCGCCCCCGCGCAGAGGCCUGACUCCCGCCCGCCGCCUCCGCAGGUCCUGGGCGUCCCCCGCAGCGCCGCCUACUCGCCACAGUUACUGUCAAAAUAGAAAUUAACGGAGCCGGGAGGAAGCUGGGACACAGCAAGUGCAUGUGUGGCAGGGCGGGGAGGGGGCCGCAGGGGAGCAGGCGGGCGCGAGCGAGGAGAGGCGACCGCAGACAUCCGGGCCCUUUAGCCCCGUGCGCCCCCCGAGCCGGCGGCGCGGGCACCGGGCGCGGGGCUCCGGGCUGACAGCCGCGGCGCGGGAGGCGGGGCGCAAGGAGGGCGGAGGCGCAGCACCGGGAGGGAGGAGCUGUCCGCGCGCCCGCCGCCACCGCUCGACUCCACACCCGCCGGCGCAGCCCCGCCACGAGACUCUGACAGCGGCGCGGCCAGCGCUGCUCGCGAGCGCAGGGACGGACAGACAGCCGCCGCGAAGGAGGACGCGAGCACCGCUGCCGGGCGCCAAGUGCGCGAGGCGCGCGGAGACGGAGGCGCGCAGAGCUAUAUGGAUCUCCACCUGCCCCGGGCUUGCUGAACUGUGGCCUGUGCUGCUUGUUGCAGAAGGAGGUUGAUCCUGGCUUCCGUGGCCAGGCAGGGAUGUCCUAGGUGUGAGUUCUCUGUGCUGAUAGAAGCUG